This 669-nucleotide ribosomal RNA is filed under the name Shigella flexneri. Its description in RNAcentral is "bacterial SSU rRNA". It matches the Rfam family "Bacterial small subunit ribosomal RNA", at positions 876 to 1533 of the family's 1533-position model. The record is from RNAcentral. Lineage: Bacteria; Pseudomonadati; Pseudomonadota; Gammaproteobacteria; Enterobacterales; Enterobacteriaceae.
GGGAGUACGGCCGCAAGGUUAAAACUCAAAUGAAUUGACGGGGGCCCGCACAAGCGGUGGAGCAUGUGGUUUAAUUCGAUGCAACGCGAAGAACCUUACCUGGUCUUGACAUCCACGGAAGUUUUCAGAGAUGAGAAUGUGCCUUCGGGAACCGUGAGACAGGUGCUGCAUGGCUGUCGUCAGCUCGUGUUGUGAAAUGUUGGGUUAAGUCCCGCAACGAGCGCAACCCUUAUCCUUUGUUGCCAGCGGUCCGGCCGGGAACUCAAAGGAGACUGCCAGUGAUAAACUGGAGGAAGGUGGGGAUGACGUCAAGUCAUCAUGGCCCUUACGACCAGGGCUACACACGUGCUACAAUGGCGCAUACAAAGAGAAGCGACCUCGCGAGAGCAAGCGGACCUCAUAAAGUGCGUCGUAGUCCGGAUUGGAGUCUGCAACUCGACUCCAUGAAGUCGGAAUCGCUAGUAAUCGUGGAUCAGAAUGCCACGGUGAAUACGUUCCCGGGCCUUGUACACACCGCCCGUCACACCAUGGGAGUGGGUUGCAAAAGAAGUAGGUAGCUUAACCUUCGGGAGGGCGCUUACCACUUUGUGAUUCAUGACUGGGGUGAAGUCGUAACAAGGUAACCGUAGGGGAACCUGCGGUUGGAUCACCUCCUUACCUUAAAGAAGC